UACAGAGGGUGCGAGCGUUGUCCGGAAUCACUGGGCGUAAAGGGCGCGUAGGCGGCCAGCGCAAGUCAGUUGUGAAAUCUCCGGGCUUAACUCGGAACGGUCAACUGAUACUGCGCGGCUAGAGUGCAGAAGAGGCAACUGGAAUUCUCGGUGUAGCGGUGAAAUGCGUAGAUAUCGAGAGGAACACCUGCGGCGAAGGCGGGUUGCUGGGCUGACACUGACGCUGAUGCGCGAAAGCCAGGGGAGCGAACGGG
This 254-nucleotide ribosomal RNA is filed under the name uncultured bacterium. Its description in RNAcentral is "partial 16S ribosomal RNA". It matches the Rfam family "Bacterial small subunit ribosomal RNA", at positions 524 to 776 of the family's 1533-position model. The record is from RNAcentral.